This 320-nucleotide ribosomal RNA is filed under the name uncultured eukaryote. RNAcentral's name for it is "partial 18S ribosomal RNA". It matches the Rfam family "Eukaryotic small subunit ribosomal RNA", at positions 1470 to 1796 of the family's 1831-position model. The record is from RNAcentral.
CCCCUAGAUGUUCUGGGCCGCACGCGCGCUACACUGAACAGUUCAACAAGUCUUAACCUUGGCCGAUAGGUCUGGGUAAUCUUUGAACGCUGUUCAUGAUUGGGAUAGACCUUUGCAAUUAUGGGUCUUCAACGAGGAAUUCCUAGUAAACGCAAGUCAUCAGCUUGCAUUGAUUACGUCCCUGCCCUUUGUACACACCGCCCGUCGCACCUACCGAUUGAAUGGUCCGGUGAAAUCUCGGGACGGCGGCUUGGUCGCUUGCGUCCGACUGCUGAAACUUGAUUAAACCAUAUCAUUUAGAGGAAGGUGAAGUCGUAACA